Molecule: ribosomal RNA, 459 nt
Filed under: uncultured Pseudomonadota bacterium
Lineage: Bacteria; Pseudomonadati; Pseudomonadota
Description: bacterial SSU rRNA
Rfam family: Bacterial small subunit ribosomal RNA
Source: RNAcentral
GAAACGGUCCGUGCCAACACCACGGACUAAUGAACGGUACUCGCAGAAGAAGCACCGGCUAACUACGUGCCAGCAGCCGCGGUUAAUACGUAGGGUGCGGGCGUUAAUCGGAAUUACUGGGCGUAAAGCGUGCGCAGGCGGCUCCUUAAGUCGGAUGUGAAAUCCCCCGGGCUUAACCUGGGAACUGCGUUUGAAACUGAGGGGCUUGAGUGUGGAAGAGGGGGGUGGAAUUCCAGGUGUAGCAGUGAAAUGCGUAGAGAUCUGGAGGAACACCGAUGGCGAAGGCAGCCCCCUGGGCUAACACUGACGCUCAUGCACGAAAGCGUGGGGAGCAAACAGGAUUAGAUACCCUGGUAGUCCACGCCCUAAACGAUGUCAACUGGUUGUCGGGGAAGCAAUUCCUUGGUAACGAAGCUAACGCGUGAAGUUGACCGCCUGGGGAGUACGGCCGCAAGGUUA